UGCUAUACAUGCAGUCGAGCGGACAGAUGGGAGCUUGCUCCCUGAUGUUAGCGGCGGACGGGUGAGUAACACGUGGGUAACCUGCCUGUAAGACUGGGAUAACUCCGGGAAACCGGGGCUAAUACCGGAUGGUUGUUUGAACCGCAUGGUUCAAACAUAAAAGGUGGCUUCGGCUACCACUUACAGAUGGACCCGCGGCGCAUUAGCUAGUUGGUGAGGUAACGGCUCACCAAGGCAACGAUGCGUAGCCGACCUGAGAGGGUGAUCGGCCACACUGGGACUGAGACACGGCCCAGACUCCUACGGGAGGCAGCAGUAGGGAAUCUUCCGCAAUGGACGAAAGUCUGACGGAGCAACGCCGCGUGAGUGAUGAAGGUUUUCGGAUCGUAAAGCUCUGUUGUUAGGGAAGAACAAGUACCGUUCGAAUAGGGCGGUACCUUGACGGUACCUAACCAGAAAGCCACGGCUAACUACGUGCCAGCAGCCGCGGUAAUACGUAGGUGGCAAGCGUUGUCCGGAAUUAUUGGGCGUAAAGGGCUCGCAGGCGGUUUCUUAAGUCUGAUGUGAAAGCCCCCGGCUCAACCGGGGAGGGUCAUUGGAAACUGGGGAACUUGAGUGCAGAAGAGGAGAGUGGAAUUCCACGUGUAGCGGUGAAAUGCGUAAAGAUGUGGAGGAACACCACCGGCC
This 687-nucleotide ribosomal RNA is filed under the name Bacillus subtilis. RNAcentral describes it as "bacterial SSU rRNA". It matches the Rfam family "Bacterial small subunit ribosomal RNA", at positions 45 to 717 of the family's 1533-position model. Lineage: Bacteria; Bacillati; Bacillota; Bacilli; Caryophanales; Bacillaceae. The record is from RNAcentral.